GACGAACGCUGGCGGCGUGCUUAACACAUGCAAGUCGAACGGAAAGGCCCUGCUUUUGUGGGGUGCUCGAGUGGCGAACGGGUGUGUAACACGUGAGUAACCUGCCCUUGACUUUGGGAUAACUUCAGGAAACUGGGGCUAAUACCGGAUAGGAGCUCCUGCUGCAUGGUGGGGGUUGGAACGUUUCGGCGGUUGGGGAUGGACUCGCGGCUUAUCAGCUUGUUGGUGGGGUAGUGGCUUACCAAGGCUUUGACGGGUAGCCGGCCUGAGAGGGUGACCGGCCACAUGGGGACUGAGAUACGGCCCAGACUCCUACGGGAGGCAGCAGUGGGGAAUAUUGCACAAUGGGCGGAAGCCUGAUGCAGCAACGCCGCGUGCGGGAUGACGGCCUUCGGGUUGUAAACCGCUUUCGCCUGUGACGAAGCGUGAGUGACGGUAAUGGGUAAAGAAGCACCGGCUAACUACGUG
This 468-nucleotide ribosomal RNA is filed under the name uncultured bacterium. RNAcentral's name for it is "partial 16S ribosomal RNA". It matches the Rfam family "Bacterial small subunit ribosomal RNA", at positions 28 to 507 of the family's 1533-position model. The record is from RNAcentral.